AUGACCUGGACAGUUCAGACUGUGGGAAGACGUCCGCGCUUUGAUGUGAGCCACAAGGUCAGGGAGGGAGCAGGAGAUCCCAGCUUGUCACUGGCUAUGCAGAGCCCUGAGCAAAGAUGGAGGUGUGUGGCCAGAGCAGGAAAGAGCAUCACAUCUAUCAUGGUGACAAGCCAGUCAUGUCUCUAUGUCCAUACUGCUGCUAGCUGGCUGUGCCACAGUCUCUCUUGGCCUCAAGGUCCUUGUCCAUCAAACAGGAAGAUGAGACAGAGGCUAUGAUUUGUGUCUCUAGAUAAUGAAAUCCCUGAGGUCUCUUUUAUUUCCAAGACCAUAAGUUUGGUAGUUAAAAUUAUUUAUUUAGGAGAAGGAAUAAUACCUUCAGCUAUUUGCCUGGAGUUCAUAAUUCCAGCACCUCAGAGAACAGAACUGAACUCGAUAUUCAAACUCAGCUUAGAAUCCUGACUGCUUGUAUGUUUGGUUUCUAAGGUGGGCCCCACAUACAAGGUCCUGGCCAUUCUAGGCCAUUACUGUAUGCCCCUCCAUUCGCAGCACUGUGGAUGACACUCAGGGUUGUUACAACAAAAUGUCAUAGCAUGUGAUGUGUGCCAUAUCUGUGAGAUCUCAUUAAAGCUUCACCAUAGUCCAAAAAGGAGAAAUUUGGGGCAUGGGGAGAUCAAGUUGGGCAGAUUGCCCUCUGGGUUACAUCUAGACAGUGAGGAGGAGGCGAUGGGAGCUUGUGUUCCAAGGCACUAUAUUGUCAGGCAUCUUGAAAGGUGUUCUAUGAUUUCCACCAGCUUUUCUAGAAAGGAUAAGGGUAUCAAGGUUAGGUUCUUUAGGGUAGGAGUCCAUUUUCUGUUUUUCUAGAGUCUUGGGGAGAAUGCAGAGUAGCCCUAAUGGUUUGGGGGAGGAUCAGAAGAAGCACAAAAGAAAAGGAAAGGCCUCUGCAC
This 944-nucleotide long non-coding RNA is filed under the name Mus spicilegus (steppe mouse). Its description in RNAcentral is "lncRNA (ENSMSIG00000009146.1)". The record is from RNAcentral. Lineage: Eukaryota; Metazoa; Chordata; Mammalia; Rodentia; Muridae.